This 542-nucleotide long non-coding RNA is filed under the name Lupinus angustifolius (narrow-leaved blue lupine). RNAcentral describes it as "long non-coding RNA (LANG_LNC003589)". Lineage: Eukaryota; Viridiplantae; Streptophyta; Magnoliopsida; Fabales; Fabaceae. The record is from RNAcentral.
UCGUUGGUUCUAUCUAUAUAAUCAAACUCAUAUUGUCCAAUACCAAAUGGUGUUAAUUCAAGUGAUACAUGUUUGAUUCAUCUUAAGUAAAAUAUCGGAUUUGAAUCUUGUGGAUGUGAAAACUGCUGGAAGAGUUAGCCCCACGUACCUUCCCGGCUCGAACAUCAUUACCCCCAGUGUGAGAAUACAUGUAGGAAGCAAAAAAAAAACUCACCUAGUCAAAUUAAGGCUCCGUUAUUGUUGUUUUUCUAUCACUUGGUAUGGUAGCCAUUCUGCAACUGUCAUUUUUUUUCUUCUGAAAUCUGGGUAAUGAAGUAUAUAGAAAAAUUCAUAUUUUCUGUCCUUGAUUUUGCGAGUCUGAGCCAAAAUUUUCAGAAUAUAGAGAUUUUGAUUUGGACUUGACCACGGUCCUAACUUCAGAAGAAUUAGAUGACAUGAAAUCUGAUGAUUCAGCCAGUGACUAGGUGCUCCUUAUAUCCGUUUCCUCAUGACAAAGCACCGUAUUGCUGAUGAUGCUUAAGUUCUUGUACUCUUACUUUUCC